AUUCGUGUAGUAAUAUGCCCUAACUUUUCUGUACGAAAGGAGACCGUAAAGGCAGAGCAAACGAAACUUGAGGAUGAAGAUGAAGAUGUGUUGAUAAGAUCUGAAACGUAAAAUGCAUAAAACUUAAAUUUUCUCGAUGUUGCAGAUACAUUCAUACAAAUGAUGUUGAAGAAACAAAGAGAAAAGGAACUUGGACUGUACCAUUUUGUUUGCUGCUUCUAAGAUAAAGGAGGUAAAUUUCCUCUGUUGACAAAAAAAUGGUUGAGGAGUCGGAAAGUUUGACUGAAGAUUAAGGAUAUCAAAUGAAGAUUAUUAUUGAAAAAAGAGCACUUUGAAGUACUAGGAGAAUUUGAAAACAUCUUGGUGAAAUAGUCUGACUGAUUAUGACAGAACAUCAAAAGAAAUGACGAAAAAUUACACAUCUUAUCAAAAUAGCACUACUAGAAACUAAAAGCUACUUGCAAUUUUCACUGGUUUUGAGAUCAGUAACAGUCUGACAAGGAAAGAAUUUAAUGAACAUGAUUAUGAUGCCUCUUGAUAAAUAUAAAAACAUAUUGACUGUAAAAUAAUUACCAGUUACCAAUUAUAUCUGUUGUUUACAAAAUUUGUUAUUUGGAAAUAUCUGUUGAAUGUUUUGAAAUUAAAAUGUGUUAACUUAAAUGA
This is a long non-coding RNA of Mytilus trossulus (common blue mussel), 663 nucleotides long. RefSeq lists it as uncharacterized. NCBI's taxonomy places the organism in Eukaryota, Metazoa, Mollusca, Bivalvia, Mytilida, Mytilidae. The record is from RefSeq and is a predicted model, not a curated record. The transcript is spliced from 4 exons.